AUCCGACUGCUAUCCGGGUAAGACUAAGCCAUGCAAGUCGAAUGGAACAGCUUGUUCCAUGGCGAACUGCUCAGUAACAAGUGAUCAACUUACCCUUCAGUGGAGCAUAACCUCGGGAAACUGAGGCUAAUACUUCAUAGUUGGAACUGCCUGGAAGGGUUUUCCAUCGAAAGAUAUUCCCAAUUGCGGGAUGUUCGCUGAAGGAUAGGAUCGCUUUCGAUUAUGGUAGUUGGUGAGGUAAUGGCUCACCAAGCCUAUGAUCGAUAAGGGCCGUGAGAGCGGUAGCCCUGAGAUGGAUACUGAGACAAUGAUCCAGGCCUUACGAGGCGCAGCAGGCGCGAAGCCUUUACAAUGCACGUCAGUGUGAUAAGGUUACCCGGAGUGCUAAGAGAACAACUUUUAGCUGUUAUAGGUGUGUAAAUAACCCUAUGAGAAAGGAGAGGGCAAGGCUGGUGCCAGCCGCCGCGGUAAAACCAGCUCUUCAAGUGGUCGGGAAUAUUAUUGGGCUUAAAGUGUCCGUAGCCGGUUUGAACAGUUCCUGGUUAAAUCUGGUAGCUUAACUAUCAGUCAGCUAGGAAUACUAUCUUACUAGAGGGUGGGAAAGGCUUGGGGUACUCCGGGGGUAGCGGUGAAAUGCGAUAAUCCUCGGGGGACCACCAGUGGCGAAGGCGCCAAGCUGGAACACGCCUGACGGUGAGGGACGAAAGCCAGGGGAGCGAACGGGAUUAGAUACCCCGGUAGUCCUGGCCGUAAACGAUGCGUGCUAGGUGUUGGAAGGGCUUUGAGCCGUUCCAGUGCCGUAGGGAAACUGUUAAGCGCGCCGCCUGGGAAGUACGCUCGCAAGAGUGAAACUUAAAGGAAUUGGCGGGGGAGCACCACAAGGGGUGAAGCCUGCGGUUCAAUUGGAGUCAACGCCGGG
This 919-nucleotide ribosomal RNA is filed under the name uncultured crenarchaeote. RNAcentral's name for it is "bacterial SSU rRNA". It matches the Rfam family "Archaeal small subunit ribosomal RNA", at positions 21 to 922 of the family's 1478-position model. Lineage: Archaea; Thermoproteati; Thermoproteota. The record is from RNAcentral.